UACGAAGGGUGCAAGCGUUACUCGGAAUUACUGGGCGUAAAGCGUGCGUAGGUGGUUUUUUAAGUCCGUUGUGAAAGCCCUGGGCUCAACCUGGGAAUGGCAGUGGAUACUGGAAAGCUAGAGUGCGGUAGAGGGUAGUGGAAUUCCCGGUGUAGCAGUGAAAUGCGUAGAGAUCGGGAGGAACACCAGUGGCGAAGGUGGCUACCUGGACCAGCACUGACACUGAGGCACGAAAGCGUGGGGAGCAAACAGG
Molecule: ribosomal RNA, 253 nt
Filed under: uncultured bacterium
Lineage: Bacteria
Description: partial 16S ribosomal RNA
Rfam family: Bacterial small subunit ribosomal RNA
Source: RNAcentral